CAAUUUCUGUUUUAGAAAUGCGACACAGAACCUAUACAGCCCAAAGUGGAGAGGGUUGUCUCCUUUUGUUGGAGAAUUCCAAAUUUUACAGAGAGCAGUACACAACAACCUUCAACUGCUGAUGGAGACAAUCCCUUAACAAGUGGGCCAUUUAUAGAUGAAGGCUACAGAUGGAGAGGACUGUACUUCAGACAACAAAAAUUGUUCCUGCAGCUUCUCUCAGCAUCCCAUCCAGUUAGUGCGGAAGUUCAAAUUUUAAUGGCCCAAGGAAGUGACAAGGAGCAGGUGCUGGAUUCAGACGUGGUGUCCGUGAAAGAAGGAGAAAUGCGGAGUAGGAAGAUACUGAACGUGGAAAGUCUACGGGAUGGAAAUGGAAGCCUUGAUGUUAAGUUUAUUAUUUACUACCUCAACUUGUAUUAAUUACGUUAACAGGUCAUAAAAUGUUAAUUUCAGUCAGUACAAAAA
Molecule: long non-coding RNA, 465 nt
Organism: Stylophora pistillata
Lineage: Eukaryota; Metazoa; Cnidaria; Anthozoa; Scleractinia; Pocilloporidae
Source: RefSeq, a predicted model, not a curated record